Long non-coding RNA from Dermacentor andersoni, 317 nucleotides. RefSeq lists it as uncharacterized. NCBI's taxonomy places the organism in Eukaryota, Metazoa, Arthropoda, Arachnida, Ixodida, Ixodidae. The record is from RefSeq and is a predicted model, not a curated record.
AGAAGAGGUCUAAUACCUGCGAUGGGUUGAUCUCCCUCAAGUUAUCGCAGUAUUGUUGCUCUCAAACCUGUGGAGACAAGGUUUGUUAGACAUGGCCAUGGCCCUCAAAAUGGUUGCCGAGGCCACAGCAGUUGACUGCAGAAGCCAAGAGCACAGGCAGUUCCUCGAGUGACUGUGAAAAGGUGCCGUGGGACAGAAGUCUAAUUUGCAGAAAGUUUAUUCUUGCAAGGCGUUUGGGGUCGAGAAGAACUUUCACCAGGAAAGACUGCAUUACGAGAGAUUCAAGAAAAUAAGUGGUUUCUAGGAUCUAAAGAACU